UGCACGGGACUUCCGGGGUAGGGCCUGUCGGAGCGGAAGUGCCGUGUGGCGCGCGGGGUCUGGUCCGGGCGGUGGUCGGCGGGCUUGGGUCCCUCGACACCCCGGGGGCGCGCGGAGGCUCGAGAGGGCGUCGGGUGCCUGCCCUGGCCUCGCGGCCAUGAACCUGGAGCCGCUGCGCAAACGCGUCCGGCAGUACCUGGACCAGCAACAGUAUCAAAGUGCUCUGUUUUGGGCAGACAAGGUAGCUUCACUCUCUCAUGAGGAGCCCCAGGAUGUUUAUUGGUUGGCUCAGUGCCUUUACCUCACAGCGCAGUACCACCGAGCAGCCCAUGCGCUCCGGUCACGCAAGCUGGACAAAUUGUAUGAAGCUUGCCGAUACCUUGCAGCUAGAUGCCACUAUGCUGCAAAAGAGCACCAGCAGGCUCUGGACAUCCUUGACAUGGAGGAGCCAAUUAACAGAAGGCUCUUUGAGAAAUACCUGAAGGAUGACAAUGGCUCGAGAGACCCUUCCAGUGACUGGGAGAUGUCACAGUCUUCCAUAAAGAGCUCGAUUUGUCUCCUGAGAGGGAAGAUCUAUGAUGCUUUAGAUAAUCGCACCCUGGCUACCUACAGUUACAAAGAGGCUCUGAAACUGGAUGUCUACUGCUUUGAAGCCUUUGACCUUUUGACAUCACACCACAUGCUGACAGCACAGGAAGAAAAAGAACUUCUGGACUCCCUGCCUCUUAACAAGCUCUGUGCUGAAGAACAAGAGUUGCUGCGAUUUGUAUUUGAGAACAAAUUAAAGAAGUAUAAUAAGCCCAGUGAAACGGUCAUUCCCGAGUCAGUGGACGGCUUGCAGGAGAAUCUGGACGUGGUAGUGUCUUUAGCUGAGAGACACUAUUACAACUGUGAUUUUAAGAUGUGCUACAAGCUUACUUCUACAGUGAUGGAGAAAGAUCCUUUCCAUGCAAACUGUUUACCUGUGCACAUAGGAACUCUUGUGGAGCUGAAUAAAGCGAAUGAACUUUUCUAUCUUUCUCACAAACUGGUGGAUUUAUAUCCGAGUAAUCCUGUGUCUUGGUUUGCGGUGGGAUGUUACUAUCUCAUGGUUGGUCAUAAAAAUGAGCAUGCCAGAAGAUAUCUCAGCAAAGCUACCACGUUGGAGAAGACCUACGGUCCUGCCUGGAUAGCCUACGGGCAUUCCUUCGCUGUGGAGAGUGAGCACGACCAAGCAAUGGCUGCUUACUUCACAGCAGCACAGCUGAUGAAGGGCCAGCUCGAGAGAAAAGGGAAUGAGACCAAAGGGAGACUUGAACACAGAGCCUUCUACUCUCCGUGCCCGUGAAGAAUGGACGCCUUAUAGUAAAAUCCCAGCACCUCACUGUUGCAGCUGUGUUCGCUGCUGUAUAUGCAGAUCUGAGGCUAGCUGUUUCUCCCUCUGAUUUUAUGUGUUCUGAAUCUGCUAAUUUUUAGAUGUGCAAUUAUUGUAUCUCCUUGAUGCCCUGAGUUAUUUAUCACUAGAAUGUCCCCCCUUGUCUCUGGUAACAGCCCUGUUCCAGAGUCUGUUUCACCUGGUCAUGUGGUCACACCAGCUCUCACGUGUUACUUUGCCAUCCUUUCAGGAUCACCCUGCUGUAGUAUAUAAACUGUCAGUCAGUCCCUUGCAGUCUCUGAAUAGAAGUAGAAGCAACAUACGGUUAUGUCAUUUUUUUUUCUUCUCGCUCCAGUCCCCCUCUCCGGCUACUGGUUAAGUCAUUUUUAAAACUAUUUUUUACUGUAGUAUGUAUUCACUUCCACGUAACAUGGUGAGAUAGACUUAUUUCAGCCAUUAGUUCGUUUUCUACCGGUCAUGUUAAAUAAUUUACAGUUUGUAUUUUAGUUCUUUUGAGUUUUGUUGUUUACAGUGACUUUCUUAGUGAUCAUCCGUGGGUAAGCAACAUCUUAAAGCAGUGUAGUUUCAAGUACUUCACUUUAACUCUGUCCCUACGUGCCUCCUUUGUGUUAUUGUGAAUCAACUUAUACCUCAUAGUUGUAUCUGUUACCAUGUUUUAUGCUGAUGUUGUUUUGUAAUCACAUAGAAGAGUUGCAAACAUAGUGACAGUUCACUGCCUUCUGGUCACCACUGCAGUCACGUCAUUUAUGUUGACUGACCCACUUAUUUUCCACGUAGAUACAGUUCACAUGUAGAUGAGUUACCAUCUGUGUCCUUACAGUUCCACAUAAGGGACUUGCUUUAGUUUUCUUCAGUAGAUUUUCUAGUGCUGGAUUCUCUGUUAUACCUAGCUCAUAUGGCUACUUGUACCUGUUUGUUUGUAAGCCCUUUUAUCAUAGUUUUUUUAACUCUAUUUAUUCCACUUUGGAAUAGUGAUUAUUUGGUUCUAUUUGGUUCUCCAUUAUAAGUUCUGUUUGGGAGUUCCUGAAUGGAUGGCUCAGCAGUUAAGAGCCAUCUUAAUUUCUCUUGACUAGGUUCAGUUUCCAGUAGAGCUCACAGCUGCCUGUACUUCCAGCUUUGGGGAAUCAGAUGUCUGCUUUUGGCCUUCACAGGCUCCUGCACACAUGAUACACUAGUCAUAUGCAUGUAUUUAAUUAAUUAAUUUCUUUUUUUAAAUUGCUGUCCUCUGAUGGGGUAUUGUUCUUAUAGUUUUGUAAACUUAAUUUUCUUUAGUUCUUUGAAUAUUAUCCUAGCUUAUUUAAAGUAUUGUCUUUUAAGUCCAGUAUCUCCUCUUCUGCUAGGACGGUUUCUGUUGACUGCUUUUUUUUUUUCCUGUUCGGACUGUAUUUAGAGUUAGAAAAAAGUGAAUGAUAGGAUCUAAAGCUGACAAAUUUCUAUUGCAUUACAAAGUUUCAAGCGUUGAAUAUGUGAAAUUUUCAAAUCUUUUCAGGUGUCACUUGCCAAUGCUAUAUAUUGGAUUAGAAUAUGGUCUGACCAAUAACUCGAAACUGGCUGAGCGGUUCUUUGGCCAAGCUCUGAGCAUCGCCCCAGAAGACCCAUUUGUCAUCCAUGAGGUUGGAGUGGUUGCCUUUCAGAAUGGAGAAUGGAAAACAGCAGAAAAAUGGUUUCUCGAUGCUUUGGAAAAAAUUAAAGCAAUUGGAAAUGAGGUCACAGUUGACAAAUGGGAACCUUUGUUGAACAACUUGGGGCAUGUCUGCAGAAAACUUAAGAAAUAUGCUGAGGCUUUGGAUUACCACAGGCAGGCACUGGUGCUAAUCCCUCAGAACGCAUCCACCUACUCUGCUAUAGGGUACAUCCACAGUCUGAUGGGCAACUUUGAAAACGCUGUGGACUAUUUCCACACAGCUCUUGGUCUCAGGCGAGACGACACAUUUUCUGUUACAAUGCUUGGUCACUGCAUUGAAAUGUACAUCGGGGAUUCGGAAGCUUAUAUCGGAGCAGACAUUAAAGACAAAUUAAAGUGCUAUGACUUCGAUGUGCAUACAAUGAAAACACUAAAAAACAUCAUUUCGCCUCCAUGGGAUUUCAGGGACUUUGAAGUAGAAAAGCAGAACACAGAGGAAGCGGGACUUGCACCUCUGCAAAACUCCACUAAAGCUCCAGAGUCCAGACCUAACUUGGAAGAGACUUUUGAAAUUGAAAUGAACGAAAGUGACAUGAUGCUAGAGACGUCUAUGUCAGACCACAGCACAUAGCCACAGCACUGAACCUGACAGAGGUCCAGGGCCCACCCUCAUGUGCCAGAGUAGGUCAAUGCUCCCCUGCAGCCUUGCUACGUCCUAAGAAUUUUCCAGUUCCUGAUGUGACUCCAGACUACAUCUCUACAUUUAGGACCAGCAGCCUGCAGUAACAGUGGGACAGCAGGCCUUGGCAACAGAUGUUUUCCGAUUUUCUGAACCUACAAAGUAGUUAGUUACGUGUAGCAGAAUAAAGAAGGUCAACUAUUCGUUAUCUUUUUCAUUGUGUCUUUUUCAAUAAAUUUAUAUUUGGGAAUAACUAGAA
Molecule: RNA transcript, 3937 nt
Organism: Mus musculus (house mouse)
Lineage: Eukaryota; Metazoa; Chordata; Mammalia; Rodentia; Muridae
Gene: Cdc16
Gene name: CDC16 cell division cycle 16
Exons: 18
Source: RefSeq, marked validated